RNAcentral lists this ribosomal RNA (233 nucleotides) under uncultured bacterium. RNAcentral's name for it is "partial 16S ribosomal RNA". It matches the Rfam family "Bacterial small subunit ribosomal RNA", at positions 794 to 1026 of the family's 1533-position model. The record is from RNAcentral.
UCCACGCCGUAAACGAUGAGAGCUAGACGUCGGGCAGCAUGCUGUUCGGUGUCGCAGUUAACGCAUUAAGCUCUCCGCCUGGGGAGUACGGUCGCAAGAUUAAAACUCAAAGGAAUUGACGGGGGCCCGCACAAGCGGUGGAGCAUGUGGUUUAAUUCGACGCAACGCGCAGAACCUUACCAAUCCUUGACAUACUUGUCGCGACGCCAGAGAUGGUGUUUUUCAGUUAGGCU